UAUGUUAAACUUUUCCUAGUACGAAAGGACCGGAGAAGUGGGGCCAAUGCUUCAACGUAUGCCCCCUCCCUAAAUAAUGACUUCAACUAAAUUAUUAAGGGAUCUCACACAACACCUAGUCCUAGAAAAGGACC
Molecule: ribosomal RNA, 134 nt
Filed under: Patagioenas leucocephala (white-crowned pigeon)
Lineage: Eukaryota; Metazoa; Chordata; Aves; Columbiformes; Columbidae
Description: partial 16S ribosomal RNA
Source: RNAcentral